UACGUAGGGUGCAAGCGUUGUCCGGAAUUAUUGGGCGUAAAGAGCUCGUAGGCGGUUUGUUGCGUCGGCUGUGAAAUCCCGAGGCUCAACCUCGGGUCUGCAGUCGAUACGAGCAAACUAGAGUGUUGCAGGGGAGACUGGAAUUCCUGGUGUAGCGGUGAAAUGCGUAGAUAUCUGGAGGAACACCGGUGGCGAAGGCGCAUCCUGGACCGGCAUUGACGCUGAGUGAGCGAAAGCCAGGGGAGCAAACGGG
RNAcentral lists this ribosomal RNA (253 nucleotides) under uncultured bacterium. RNAcentral describes it as "partial 16S ribosomal RNA". It matches the Rfam family "Bacterial small subunit ribosomal RNA", at positions 524 to 776 of the family's 1533-position model. The record is from RNAcentral.